Molecule: ribosomal RNA, 2702 nt
Filed under: Salmonella enterica subsp. enterica serovar Enteritidis
Lineage: Bacteria; Pseudomonadati; Pseudomonadota; Gammaproteobacteria; Enterobacterales; Enterobacteriaceae
Description: partial 23S ribosomal RNA
Rfam family: Bacterial large subunit ribosomal RNA
Source: RNAcentral
AAUCCAUAGGUUAAUGAGGCGAACCGGGGGAACUGAAACAUCUAAGUACCCCGAGGAAAAGAAAUCAACCGAGAUUCCCCCAGUAGCGGCGAGCGAACGGGGAGGAGCCCAGAGCCUGAAUCAGCAUGUGUGUUAGUGGAAGCGUCUGGAAAGGCGCGCGAUACAGGGUGACAGCCCCGUACACAAAAGCGCAUGUGCUGUGAGCUCGAUGAGUAGGGCGGGACACGUGGUAUCCUGUCUGAAUAUGGGGGGACCAUCCUCCAAGGCUAAAUACUCCUGACUGACCGAUAGUGAACCAGUACCGUGAGGGAAAGGCGAAAAGAACCCCGGCGAGGGGAGUGAAAAAGAACCUGAAACCGUGUACGUACAAGCAGUGGGAGCACAGGUUUACCUGUGUGACUGCGUACCUUUUGUAUAAUGGGUCAGCGACUUAUAUUCUGUAGCAAGGUUAACCGAAUAGGGGAGCCGGAGGGAAACCGAGUCUUAAUUGGGCGUUAAGUUGCAGGGUAUAGACCCGAAACCCGGUGAUCUAGCCAUGGGCAGGUUGAAGGUUGGGUAACACUAACUGGAGGACCGAACCGACUAAUGUUGAAAAAUUAGCGGAUGACCUGUGGCUGGGGGUGAAAGGCCAAUCAAACCGGGAGAUAGCUGGUUCUCCCCGAAAGCUAUUUAGGUAGCGCCUCGUGAAUUCAUCUCCGGGGGUAGAGCACUGUUUCGGCUAGGGGGCCAUCCCGGCUUACCAACCCGAUGCAAACUGCGAAUACCGGAGAAUGUUAUCACGGGAGACACACGGCGGGUGCUAACGUCCGUCGUGAAGAGGGAAACAACCCAGACCGCCAGCUAAGGUCCCAAAGUCAUGGUUAAGUGGGAAACGAUGUGGGAAGGCCCAGACAGCCAGGAUGUUGGCUUAGAAGCAGCCAUCAUUUAAAGAAAGCGUAAUAGCUCACUGGUCGAGUCGGCCUGCGCGGAAGAUGUAACGGGGCUAAACCAUGCACCGAAGCUGCGGCAGCGACACUGUGUGUUGUUGGGUAGGGGAGCGUUCUGUAAGCCUGUGAAGGUGUGUCGUGAGGCAUGCUGGAGGUAUCAGAAGUGCGAAUGCUGACAUAAGUAACGAUAAAGCGGGUGAAAAGCCCGCUCGCCGGAAGACCAAGGGUUCCUGUCCAACGUUAAUCGGGGCAGGGUGAGUCGACCCCUAAGGCGAGGCCGAAAGGCGUAGUCGAUGGGAAACGGGUUAAUAUUCCCGUACUUGGUGUUACUGCGAAGGGGGGACGGAGAAGGCUAUGUUGGCCGGGCGACGGUUGUCCCGGUUUAAGCGUGUAGGUGUGUGUUCCAGGUAAAUCCGGUUCACUUUAACACUGAGGCGUGACGACGAGGCACUACGGUGCUGAAGCAACAAAUGCCCUGCUUCCAGGAAAAGCCUCUAAGCAUCAGGUAACAUCAAAUCGUACCCCAAACCGACACAGGUGGUCAGGUAGAGAAUACCAAGGCGCUUGAGAGAACUCGGGUGAAGGAACUAGGCAAAAUGGUGCCGUAACUUCGGGAGAAGGCACGCUGACACGUAGGUGAAGUGAUUUACUCAUGGAGCUGAAGUCAGUCGAAGAUACCAGCUGGCUGCAACUGUUUAUUAAAAACACAGCACUGUGCAAACACGAAAGUGGACGUAUACGGUGUGACGCCUGCCCGGUGCCGGAAGGUUAAUUGAUGGGGUCAGCGCAAGCGAAGCUCCUGAUCGAAGCCCCGGUAAACGGCGGCCGUAACUAUAACGGUCCUAAGGUAGCGAAAUUCCUUGUCGGGUAAGUUCCGACCUGCACGAAUGGCGUAAUGAUGGCCAGGCUGUCUCCACCCGAGACUCAGUGAAAUUGAACUCGCUGUGAAGAUGCAGUGUACCCGCGGCAAGACGGAAAGACCCCGUGAACCUUUACUAUAGCUUGACACUGAACAUUGAGCCUUGAUGUGUAGGAUAGGUGGGAGGCUUUGAAGUGUGGACGCCAGUCUGCAUGGAGCCGACCUUGAAAUACCACCCUUUAAUGUUUGAUGUUCUAACGUGGACCCGUUACCCGGGUUGCGGACAGUGUCUGGUGGGUAGUUUGACUGGGGCGGUCUCCUCCUAAAGAGUAACGGAGGAGCACGAAGGUUGGCUAAUCCUGGUCGGACAUCAGGAGGUUAGUGCAAUGGCAUAAGCCAGCUUGACUGCGAGCGUGACGGCGCGAGCAGGUGCGAAAGCAGGUCAUAGUGAUCCGGUGGUUCUGAAUGGAAGGGCCAUCGCUCAACGGAUAAAAGGUACUCCGGGGAUAACAGGCUGAUACCGCCCAAGAGUUCAUAUCGACGGCGGUGUUUGGCACCUCGAUGUCGGCUCAUCACAUCCUGGGGCUGAAGUAGGUCCCAAGGGUAUGGCUGUUCGCCAUUUAAAGUGGUACGCGAGCUGGGUUUAGAACGUCGUGAGACAGUUCGGUCCCUAUCUGCCGUGGGCGCUGGAGAACUGAGGGGGGCUGCUCCUAGUACGAGAGGACCGGAGUGGACGCAUCACUGGUGUUCGGGUUGUCAUGCCAAUGGCACUGCCCGGUAGCUAAAUGCGGAAGAGAUAAGUGCUGAAAGCAUCUAAGCACGAAACUUGCCCCGAGAUGAGUUCUCCCUGAGACUUAAAGUCUCCUGAAGGAACGUUGAAGACGACGACGUUGAUAGGCCGGGUGUGUAAGCGCAGC